UGGGGAAUUUUGGACAAUGGGCGAAAGCCUGAUCCAGCCAUGCCGCGUGAGUGAAGAAGGCCUUCGGGUUGUAAAGCUCUUUCGGCCGGAACGAAAUCGCACGAGCUAAUACCUCGUGUGGAUGACGGUACCGGAGUAAGAAGGACCGGCUAACUACGUGCCAGCAGCCGCGGUAAUACGUAGGGUCCGAGCGUUAAUCGGAAUUACUGGGCGUAAAGCGUGCGCAGGCGGUUUUGUAAGCCAGAUGUGAAAUCCCCGGGCUUAACCUGGGAAUGGCAUUUGGGACUGCAAGGCUAGAGUGCGGCAGAGGGGGGUAGAAUUCCACGUGUAGCAGUGAAAUGCGUAGAUAUGUGGAGGAAUACCGAUGGCGAAGGCAGCCCCCUGGGUCGACACUGACGCUCAUGCACGAAAGCGUGGGGAGCAAACAGGAUUAGAUACCCCGGUAGUCC
RNAcentral lists this ribosomal RNA (449 nucleotides) under uncultured bacterium. RNAcentral describes it as "bacterial SSU rRNA". It matches the Rfam family "Bacterial small subunit ribosomal RNA", at positions 355 to 796 of the family's 1533-position model. The record is from RNAcentral.